UGUGGGAGCGGGCUUGCCCGCGAUGGCGGCGGGUCAGUCGGUAGAUGUAUCGACUGGGACAUCGCUAUCGCGGGCAAGCCCGCUCCCACA
This 90-nucleotide unclassified non-coding RNA is filed under the name Pseudomonas fluorescens. Lineage: Bacteria; Pseudomonadati; Pseudomonadota; Gammaproteobacteria; Pseudomonadales; Pseudomonadaceae. The record is from RNAcentral.